Molecule: non-coding RNA, 4586 nt
Organism: Onthophagus taurus
Lineage: Eukaryota; Metazoa; Arthropoda; Insecta; Coleoptera; Scarabaeidae
Source: RefSeq, a predicted model, not a curated record
UGUAGUUAGGGAUGAGUUCGAUAAGGUUUGUGUGAUAUAAAUUGGGGUUAGUUUAAUUUUUUUGUGGUAAGAUUAGGAUUUAUGGUUAUUUGUUACAGACAUUUUUUUUUUUUGAAAAUCUGCCCUCUAAAUAUUACACAAUUUAUAGCUGCCCUACUAACAAAGCAUGCACCAAGAGGCCAUUAUGUAAGUCUUCUUACUUUUCAGCUUUGUUUCAGAUUGAUCAAACCAUGACAACCCGAAAUCUUUUUUAAGAUGUGCUAUGGCGUACACGCAAGACUUUUCUUCUUCGUACAAAUCUACCGUGUUCGGCAAAUUUAGUAACCCGUUACCUAAAAGCAAGCAUGAAUCAUUUUUGCACCACUCAUACUAAUUCAAGAUAAUUUUAUGAAUUCUAAAUACAUUUAAAAGAUAUCUUAAUUAUUGGUUCACGAGUAAGUUAAAAAUGUUUCAGUGUUGGGUUGAGAGAACAAUAAUUACGGUGCCUUUUUGUAGAAUGGCGAGAACGGUGGUGCUCCGUUUCGACGAUAACUCACUAUUAAUUACGUCCGUUUAUUAAUGACCGCUAUAUGUUAAUCUGACGGGAGGCCGUUUUUCUUGGCGCUUAUCGUUCCGGAGACCCGGAGCCGCGCCGUACGGUAAUCCGCAAACCUGAAAAUUAUACCGCACGAUACUCCGAACGCUGCGGCAACUCAGAGUAUCCGCGUUGUGUGCAUAUACGAAGGUGAAAUCGGGUUUCGUUUGCUGCUGGAAUUUUUGAUUUUCGUGAGUCGAUAAGAACAAUUAGCAUAUAAGGUUACCACCGAGGACUGUUAACGGUCGUAAUCGGUGGGUUCUGUUAAAAGAAAGGCAACAUUUGCAGUUAACUUGAAAUUCCAUUGUAUGCUAUAGAAAAUGUAUGACUUUAUUUUGUUAAAAAUAGUAACAUUCAGGAAAACUUAUCGUUUGUAUGCAGAAUGCAAAACGUUGACGACCGCACAGGAAAUUUUCAUAUGGCUUAAUACGUAUGUGUGUCACAAGUUUCGUCGUUGAGUACGUGUUCAUGCGGCGGCUACCGCCACCAGAAACACACACAACAAAGGCGACGUGAGAUAGUUCCACAGGAAGUGGCAUGUGUAAUUUCAUUCAUUCAUAACUUGUUAUGUCGACGGCGUCCACUCCGCGCUGUAGAUAAUCACGAGGAUAUAAAAAAAGUGUAAUGUGCACGUGGUGAGAAUUGUUAGAACCAGAUGUUCACAUUUUUCUAUUUAAUAAUAAAUAGACAUCUCGAGAAAACAUUUAACACACCAUUUCAACAUCACUUAUUCCUUAUAAUGUUGCAAAAAAUGUUGGAAACACUACUUAAAAUGCUAAAAAGAUUUUGUUGUCGUAAGAUUCUGAAAAACCUUCAAUAUAUCAAAACAUGUCAAGUAUUUUUGAAAUUACUUGAGAGUUUGAAAUUUAUUUAUGCACAUUACAAAGAUUAGCAAAUAGGCAUAACUUUGAAACUACACAACUUUAUGUUCUUAUCAACAUGGAAUUUUCAGUAUGCAUUUUAAAAUAAGGUUAAUCGAUAAAGGUGAGAAAGAAGUGGAAUAACAAAGACGAGUCGACAAAAAAAUAAAAUAAAAAAUAAGUUAGCUGCCGCUCAAUUAGGUUGGUAAAAAUUCCAGUAAAGCGACGAGAUAAAUUAAUAGUGUCUGUCGGUUAGAAAGAUAACGCUGUCACUCCACGACCCUUUUCUACGAUUAAUUAUGAGUUUCGAAAUUGGGCGAAGGAAAACAAUUAAAUUUCGAGCUUGGAUCAUUUGUUUUACGAGAGUUAGUCGAGGCCGAGAUGGCCGAUAAGAAUGCGUUCGCCAUAAAUCACUCCCAGAAGGCGGCGGGGAAAAAAUGGACCUCGAGAAAAUGUUAAACAAUCUCCGGUCUCUUCUCUACCUGAUGGAUGACCGGCUACUGGUUUUCACAUCAUCAGAAAAGGGAACCGACAGAGAGAACGCGGGCCCCCAGAACUAAUCUUCGCUAUGCAGCUCGUAAAAUAAAUUUUCCGGACACAAUAUACCAUAAAAACAUAAUAUUGUGCUCUGGCUGGGAGCCUUUUGUUCGUUGGGUGAAUUAUUGCCGAAAUGCCGACAGUAUAAUAAUAGCCAUCCGUCUCACGUCCGCUUUAUUUCCCCUGUUACUACUGCUCCAAAUAGCAACAAGCAGUACCACCACGGUGGUAAAUCGUGGCAGCAAGAAUCGAUUAUGCAAGUAAUCUUAAAGAAAUGUCACAACAAGAAUGUCGUCCUUACGUCCCUUAGGAAUUGCCGUGUUGUAGUCGUCGUCGUCGUUGUCGUCGUCCAAGUAGCAUUGUAUUUAAAAUUGAUAUUUCCCGUUAGCGUUUCGAGCAGAUGCUUAUCUGUUCUUGUCAUUUCAAUGUAUUACCGCAGAUUGAAAAGUGACUGACAAGCCGUACGCCGAAGGCCUGGAGUAAAUCCUAAUAAAGGAGCGCAGAUAGAGCUGAGCGAACGAACGACCGCUCUCGCUGCUACCCGGACAGGAGAAAAAGAGGAGCCGCUGAUGCCGCUGCUUGCUGCUGCAGUUGCUGUUGCUCCUGUCGGCAUCCAGUCUCCCCGAUGCUAACGAUAGCUUAUCGAGGAAUUUAAAAAUAAUUACGGCGAACAACGAGCCGACCGAAGCACGUCAGUCCAUCAAUGCCGACUAUAACGAGUCGGAGUGCUCGUCGGAUGCGCCUCUGACGAUCAUCCCAGAUACCAAGAGAAGGGCAACAGAAUGCAACAGGAAUAUUAAAUCAUACCCUACUACGAGACGAUGCACUCAAAAACACAUCAAUCCCUAAGCGCGGCCGCUUUUUGAGUAUGGAUAAGGCAAAAGCUCUCUCACCAAUUACUAAAUGUUCGCACAGCUUAUCUACAACACCGAGGAUUGAAUCAAUCCUUUUGAGAGCUGCUUCUCGUAUUUUCCCCAGAUGUUGGAAUGUUGAUGGCACUCAUUUAUAACUCUUUAAUAACAUUAGAAAGCUUAAUUAUAUGAAAAAGAAAUGGUUCAACUAAUUUAAUGGACGGUUAUAACUGGAAAGAGAGUUCGAUACAAGAAACAGAUAGUAACUUAUAUACCUAGGAGGUAUUAACAACAUCAUAAAAACUGUACAGAAAUAAAUUUGUUCUUGGAAGGUUAAUGAUGGUGUAACGACAAUGAUCAAUAACACUAUUACAGGUUAUAGCUUAUAAUCUGAAGCGAUUCCCGCACCUCAAACCUAACGGGUAGCCUACAUUUCUUACUGGAGGAGCAAUCAGCAAGAUUGAUUGCAUCCACCUAACGACUUCAUCGGACGACGACUCUUAUUACACAGCUCGUGGAACGUAACUCACGUUAUAAUCACCUGCCUAUUCUCUUAUUAAUCUUGAAAACAUCUUCGUCGUCCUCCGGGGUAAAGAAGGCCAUCUGUUUAACUUCAUCGUUGCCAUAUUAACGACCAUUUGAUUACACCUUACCGACUUGAAAGAAUCUUUUUUUAAUUCCAACCCUGAGGCGCCUUCAGAAAGGAAGACGAAGAAACGGCCAAGCAGAAGGAAAAGGAGAAAGGUUGGUAGCAGGAGAAAAACGCCUGUACUUCCCGUUCCCAAUUACGACGGUAGCGUUGGCAUUAAAGAUGGGUCUGCACAUGUCGAGAAGGCGGAGUCAGAGGUCAGUGGGCCGGCCCGAGAGCGGUGACGUCGCGAGUCAAGAUGGCGGGCACACGUCCCUGUCGCAGCAGGAAUUGCAGUCACCGGUAUCGGCGUGCGAGUGGCGGCAACAAGCAGACUGGAGAGAGGUCUGCAGAAAAGAGAGGCGGCGCCGCCGCGGGAGGGCCAAAGGGGGGACACCACCGCAGGAGGACGUAAAUAACCCCUGCGAGAUCUCAUUUCGCGACCCGGCUUGAUGCUGUUGUCGCUCGUAAAGCGGCCAUAAAUCCUGCGGGCUAUGAACUCCCUUGGAGAAAGGAGCUCGCGAUGAAUGGGCCACCUCUUCCUCCAACAACCUUACCGAAACUUAACCCCCACAUAAAUCUAUUUAAUUGGUACCAUAAAUAUAGAUAUUUAGAUAUUUAUGCUUAUUCAUUCUGACUAAUUAGAAGUUGAUCCAAAACUUUCUCCUCAAAAUCUACACACAAUCGAAUUGAAUAUCUUGUCUAUCACGCUUGAUGGAAAGUUAUGUGUUAUGUAUGAAAGUUUUGUUUUCAAUGUCUAAGAACAUAUCUUGACGAAGAAGAAGUGUUCUGAUCGCGAGGAUUCGUUCUGUCUCGUUCUGGUGCUCGUUAGAGUAGUGAGUAAUGUGAUCGCGAUCGAGCCCGUUGUCGAAGUCGAUAAAAUGAUUUGUUUAGGCGAGUGGGAACGUCGACGGUAUCUGGACGUGGUCGGGGGGAGCUGACUGCUGAGGCAUUAAUCAUACAUCUGGCGCGCGGCGAAAGUUGAAAGAAGACAUUACGGUAACGAAUGGGGUCAAGUCGGGGCCGAAACACAACCAACGUUCCGACAACACGACGGCGCGGCGGCGCGUUGUUACAGUAUCGCCGCGUACAUCUCGAAUUGGCCCCGCGCAGUUAACAGAGGGUGUGGAGCGGUG